Humulus lupulus (European hop) is the source of this 2172-nucleotide RNA transcript. RefSeq lists it as uncharacterized. The record is from RefSeq and is a predicted model, not a curated record. The transcript is spliced from 16 exons. Lineage: Eukaryota; Viridiplantae; Streptophyta; Magnoliopsida; Rosales; Cannabaceae.
GGACUUCUUUUUCCCUUUUAUCUCGUAAGCGGAGAAAAGAAUAAGAUCCUCCUUGCCGUGCUUUCUCACAAUGGAAUGAUACUUCUCCGCGUUUGGUCGAUACAAAGCCAACUACUAUAAGAACCAAACUCGUAACCAGAAUUCAUUCCUCUCUCUCUCUCUCUCUCUCUAACUCUGAGUUUUGCAGCCUGUAACUGCAUGUACAAUGGCGGCCACGAAGCUCCUCCUUCUAUCACUCUUCUUAGCCCUAAUUUUUACUCAUGUUAGGGCUGACGUUUCCGUUGGAGGAGAAAACGAGGCUGAUGGAUCCGUUGCCUCUGAUUCCUCCACUCACAAGAUCGAGUUUGAUCAACUCAAGUCUAAGAUCCAAGCCCUUGAAUCUAAAGUUGAGGAGAAAACCAAAGCAUUGAAAGGGAAGAAUGAUAUAAUAGCAGAGAAGGAAAAAAUCAUUCAAGAGAAGUCAGAUAGCAUUUCAUCCUUGCAUGAAGAGGUUGCCUUUCUUCAGAAAAAAGGGACAGUAGAUGCAGAAGAGCAGGUCGGAAAAGCUUAUGCACGUGCUGGUGAAUUGGGGGAACAGGUGGAAAAGCUUAGAAAGGAAGUGGAAACGCAAAAAAAGGAGAGAGAGGCUUUGAAAGCUAAGGCAAAUGAAGCUGAAAAGAAGUUUAAUGAAUUGAGUUCAACAAUAGAGAAUCUCCAGAAGGUUAAUGAGGAACAGAAGUUGAAAAUUCGUAAAAUUGAACGUGCUCUUAAAAUGGCUGAGGAGGAAAUGGUGAAGGCCAAGUAUGAGGCCACUGCAAAAAUUAAAGAGUUAACGGAGGUUCAUGGUGCCUGGCUUCCACCUUGGCUGGCUGUACAUUUAAUUCAGUGUCAGUCCUUUGUGGUGACCCACUGGAAGCUGCAUGGAAAACCAGCGCUGGAACUUGUGAUCCAGAAGGCCCUAGAGAAAAAAUGUCAAGCUGAGAAAUGGGCUGAACCACAUAUGGAGAAAGUAAAAACUAGUGUUAUCCCUUCGUUAAAGGAACAGUGGUUGGUGAUAAGGACAUUUGCUGAACCACAUCUGCAAUCGCUCAGUACAAAAGCUAUUGAAGUUUAUGAGAUUUCGAAAAAUACAUUAGCUCCACAUGUCUUGAAAGCGCAAGAAUUUGUUGAUCCAUGCUUUCAGGAAGCUAAAAAGUACAGCAAACCAUAUAUUGAUCAGGUUGCUACUGUGGCAAAGCCUCACGUUGAAAAUGCACACGAGGUUUUGAAACCCUAUAUGAAAAAAGCAGUUCUUGCUUAUGGCAAGUUUCUUCAAUCUGCGACGACAUACCACCACCAGGUUCAAGCUGCUGUCAAAGAGACACUGAAAAAACAUGAACUGACAAAGCCUCUCGCUACUAAAGAGCUGGAGUGGUUUGCGGCCUCAGCUUUAUUGGCGCUGCCUAUCAUCAUUCUGUUCAGAAUUUUCUCAUCCAUUCUUGGAAAAAAGACAAAGAAACCAGUUAGAAAUGCUAAUACCCAUCAUUCACGUCGUAAAGCUAAACGGGGACAUUCAGACAAGUAGGCAAGCACUUAAAAUUUCACUAGUUUCAUGGUAAAUUUGUGCUCUACGGAAGGGUUUUUUUGAGGCUAUUUUAUUGUCAGUCUACUCAGAUCUCCUCAAAGUCUAUGCCAGCUUUUUGCCCUUUUUGUGAAAAAAGUUAUAGCUUACUUUAUCACACUACGCAAAUAGACAUAUGCCACCCUCAGAAAUUUGAAGUAAACCUGUUCCAUCUGAAUGACGUCACCACUGAAGCACCCAUAGAAGCAUCCAACCCAAAAAAAAAUACUCAAUUAAGACAUUAAUUUAAGGAUUUCAAAUACUUGUGUAUAAGAGUUUUUAGUUUCCUUGAAUUUGUAGAAUUUUAAACAAAAUGAUGCUCCUGCGAUGCUACAAUGAUGGUGCUUUGUAAGUAUGAUUUUUUUAGGCAAAAAAUAAUGCUCUUGUGACGCUCCAAUGAAAACUCGAUCUUUGUGGUCAAAAUGAUGCACCUGCAAUACUAUAAUGAUGGUUUCACCAAAAUUUGAUUUUAGCAUUGUUUUUUGUUUCAAAAAAAGUUUUCAAUGAAUCAUUGUUGUAGCAUCGUUGGUGCAUCGUUUUGAUCUCAAAAAUCAAAUUUUCAUGAGACUAUUGUCGCAACAUCUUCCGUCGUU